GGUUAAGCGACUAAGCGUACACGGUGGAUGCCCUGGCAGUCAGAGGCGAUGAAGGGCGUGCUAAUCUGCGAU
Molecule: ribosomal RNA, 72 nt
Filed under: Salmonella enterica subsp. enterica serovar Heidelberg str. 41566
Lineage: Bacteria; Pseudomonadati; Pseudomonadota; Gammaproteobacteria; Enterobacterales; Enterobacteriaceae
Description: partial 23S ribosomal RNA
Source: RNAcentral